GCAUAGCUCAGCUAGUUAGAGCAUGGUGCUGAUAACACCAAGGUUGCAGGUUUGAUCCCCGUACCUGCA
Molecule: transfer RNA, 69 nt
Filed under: Podarcis muralis (Common wall lizard)
Lineage: Eukaryota; Metazoa; Chordata; Lepidosauria; Squamata; Lacertidae
Also listed under: 1 other name
Rfam family: tRNA
About the family: Transfer RNA (tRNA) molecules are approximately 80 nucleotides in length. Their secondary structure includes four short double-helical elements and three loops (D, anti-codon, and T loops). Further hydrogen bonds mediate the characteristic L-shaped molecular structure. tRNAs have two regions of fundamental functional importance: the anti-codon, which is responsible for specific mRNA codon recognition, and the 3' end, to which the tRNAs corresponding amino acid is attached (by aminoacyl-tRNA synthetases). tRNAs cope with the degeneracy of the genetic code in two manners: having more than one tRNA (with a specific anti-codon) for a particular amino acid; and 'wobble' base-pairing, i.e. permitting non-standard base-pairing at the 3rd anti-codon position.
Source: Rfam by way of RNAcentral